CGCUUUCAUCGGUGACUUUAGU
This 22-nucleotide microRNA is filed under the name Heligmosomoides polygyrus. Its description in RNAcentral is "hpo-miR-124-5p". Its record names the gene hpo-miR-124-5p. Lineage: Eukaryota; Metazoa; Nematoda; Chromadorea; Rhabditida; Heligmosomidae. The record is from miRBase by way of RNAcentral.